GCAAACUUGGUCAUUUAGAGGAAGUAAAAGUCGUAACAAGGUUUCCGUAGGUGAACCUGCGGAAGGAUCAUUAAUGAAAUAUUGCCAGUGGGUUGAUGCUGGUGGUGUUAAAGCCACAUGUGCUCGCCUCUGCAUUUUCUUAUCCAUACACCUGUGCACCUCUGAGGGUUUAAUGCUGAAUGGUGCUUUUUGUGCCAUGCAGUGUUGACCUUCAUUCAACUAUAAACACUAUUUUGAUACAUGAACGUGAUUGUGCCGCAAGGCCAUAAACUUAUACAACUUUUAACAACGGAUCUCUUGGCUCUCGCAUCGAUGAAGAACGCAGC
Molecule: unclassified non-coding RNA, 326 nt
Filed under: uncultured fungus
Lineage: Eukaryota; Fungi
Description: partial contains small subunit ribosomal RNA, internal transcribed spacer 1, and 5.8S ribosomal RNA
Rfam family: Eukaryotic small subunit ribosomal RNA (bases 1-73)
Source: RNAcentral